This 401-nucleotide non-coding RNA is filed under the name Brassica napus (rape). Its description in RNAcentral is "rRNA SSU_rRNA_eukarya". The stretch from base 232 to 401 matches the Rfam family "Eukaryotic small subunit ribosomal RNA", at positions 742 to 916 of the family's 1831-position model. Lineage: Eukaryota; Viridiplantae; Streptophyta; Magnoliopsida; Brassicales; Brassicaceae. The record is from Rfam by way of RNAcentral.
CGUAUUUCAUAGUCAGAGGACCGACACCUUAGAUUGAGUUUAAGUUUCCUUAUGUCUUUAACCUUCUUUCUUGACCAUGGAACGCUUACCUUGAUGUCCUAAGACUGGCUGGUACGUUUCCUCGAACCAUGGCCGUCCCAACAAUCCUUUCCAGGAUUGGGGGCGUGACACCGGUCGGCUUGGCUCUUCUGUCGGCGGUAUGCUCCUGGUCUUAACUGGCCGGGUCGUGCCUCCAGUGCUGUUACUUUGAAGAAAUCAGAGUGCUCAAAGCAAGCCUACGCUCUGUAUACAUUAGCAUGGGAUAGCAUCAUAGGAUUUUGAUCCUAUUGUGUUGGCCUUCGGGACCGGAGUAAUGAUUAACAAGGACAGUCGGUGUAAUAACCCUGACCUUAGAGGACAAG